Molecule: long non-coding RNA, 307 nt
Organism: Rhincodon typus (whale shark)
Lineage: Eukaryota; Metazoa; Chordata; Chondrichthyes; Orectolobiformes; Rhincodontidae
Exons: 3
Source: RefSeq, a predicted model, not a curated record
AAGGGUCAACCAUACUUCUGUGAUUCUGGAGUCACAUGAAGGUCAGACCAGACUUUAAUGAAUCCCAUAACUGCUCUAUUCUUUAAAUGGCCAUAGCAGUAAUCGACAUUCUACUCUCUCCAUGAACCUCCCAUUGGGACAAUGAAAAUGCUUGUAAGGAUUUUGGAUACAAACUGCAGGAUGAAACAGUGAGGGUGACAGGAGAUUCCUGAGGCCUGGUGGCAAAGAGCAGGAGUGGUGAAGCGGAGCACUCUUUCACCUCAUUGGAAAAACCGUUAGACCUAAUGAGGUCAAACAAUGUUCCAGU